RNAcentral lists this ribosomal RNA (1530 nucleotides) under Shigella boydii. RNAcentral's name for it is "bacterial SSU rRNA". It matches the Rfam family "Bacterial small subunit ribosomal RNA". Lineage: Bacteria; Pseudomonadati; Pseudomonadota; Gammaproteobacteria; Enterobacterales; Enterobacteriaceae. The record is from RNAcentral.
AGAGUUUGAUCAUGGCUCAGAUUGAACGCUGGCGGCAGGCCUAACACAUGCAAGUCGAACGGUAACAGGAAGCAGCUUGCUGCUUCGCUGACGAGUGGCGGACGGGUGAGUAAUGUCUGGGAAACUGCCUGAUGGAGGGGGAUAACUACUGGAAACGGUAGCUAAUACCGCAUAAUGUCGCAAGACCAAAGAGGGGGACCUUCGGGCCUCUUGCCAUCGGAUGUGCCCAGAUGGGAUUAGCUUGUUGGUGGGGUAACGGCUCACCAAGGCGACGAUCCCUAGCUGGUCUGAGAGGAUGACCAGCCACACUGGAACUGAGACACGGUCCAGACUCCUACGGGAGGCAGCAGUGGGGAAUAUUGCACAAUGGGCGCAAGCCUGAUGCAGCCAUGCCGCGUGUAUGAAGAAGGCCUUCGGGUUGUAAAGUACUUUCAGCGGGGAGGAAGGGAGUAAAGUUAAUACCUUUGCUCAUUGACGUUACCCGCAGAAGAAGCACCGGCUAACUCCGUGCCAGCAGCCGCGGUAAUACGGAGGGUGCAAGCGUUAAUCGGAAUUACUGGGCGUAAAGCGCACGCAGGCGGUUUGUUAAGUCAGAUGUGAAAUCCCCGGGCUCAACCUGGGAACUGCAUCUGAUACUGGCAAGCUUGAGUCUCGUAGAGGGGGGUAGAAUUCCAGGUGUAGCGGUGAAAUGCGUAGAGAUCUGGAGGAAUACCGGUGGCGAAGGCGGCCCCCUGGACGAAGACUGACGCUCAGGUGCGAAAGCGUGGGGAGCAAACAGGAUUAGAUACCCUGGUAGUCCACGCCGUAAACGAUGUCGACUUGGAGGUUGUGCCCUUGAGGCGUGGCUUCCGGAGCUAACGCGUUAAGUCGACCGCCUGGGGAGUACGGCCGCAAGGUUAAAACUCAAAUGAAUUGACGGGGGCCCGCACAAGCGGUGGAGCAUGUGGUUUAAUUCGAUGCAACGCGAAGAACCUUACCUGGUCUUGACAUCCACGGAAGUUUUCAGAGAUGAGAAUGUGCCUUCGGGAACCGUGAGACAGGUGCUGCAUGGCUGUCGUCAGCUCGUGUUGUGAAAUGUUGGGUUAAGUCCCGCAACGAGCGCAACCCUUAUCCUUUGUUGCCAGCGGUCCGGCCGGGAACUUAAAGGAGACUGCCAGUGAUAAACUGGAGGAAGGUGGGGAUGACGUCAAGUCAUCAUGGCCCUUACGACCAGGGCUACACACGUGCUACAAUGGCGCAUACAAAGAGAAGCGACCUCGCGAGAGCAAGCGGACCUCAUAAAGUGCGUCGUAGUCCGGAUUGGAGUCUGCAACUCGACUCCAUGAAGUCGGAAUCGCUAGUAAUCGUGGAUCAGAAUGCCACGGUGAAUACGUUCCCGGGCCUUGUACACACCGCCCGUCACACCAUGGGAGUGGGUUGCAAAAGAAGUAGGUAGCUUAACCUUCGGGAGGGCGCUUACCACUUUGUGAUUCAUGACUGGGGUGAAGUCGUAACAAGGUAACCGUAGGGGAACCUGCGGUUGGAUCACCU